This 29-nucleotide non-coding RNA is filed under the name Mus musculus (house mouse). The record is from RNAcentral. Lineage: Eukaryota; Metazoa; Chordata; Mammalia; Rodentia; Muridae.
UGCAACUUUUGGAAAAAAUUUAAAGCUGC